Lates calcarifer (barramundi perch) is the source of this 917-nucleotide long non-coding RNA. RefSeq lists it as uncharacterized. NCBI's taxonomy places the organism in Eukaryota, Metazoa, Chordata, Actinopteri, Centropomidae. The record is from RefSeq and is a predicted model, not a curated record. The transcript has 4 exons.
CACCAAUGCCAAACCUAGCACCACGAUCUUAUCAGUGAGUCUGGAAGUCUAGCACCUGUUUCUCUAACAAGCCCAAACUUGUGAAACAACUGAAGGUUCAAUGGUACUGCAUGUCAGUACCGAGCAAACACACUGGCUGCUAUAAAUAGACCCCUAGUCAACCUCUGAGCUUUAUGGGUCACUGACUGCUUCUAUCGAUCUUUAGAAAUUACAGGGAAUAAAAACUCCUUUGCCGAGACAACGUCUGUUUCUGCGCUCAGAGAUCUCAGGCCGUCUCUCCUCAAAGGCAUGGGAUAGCUGCUGCAGAUGAAGAUGCAUGGCACCCAUGCACAAACCUGCACAAGCCCAUACUCCUACACACGGAGCAGAUCCUGCUGGUGGAUGAAGAGAACCAGACCACCAGCAGCGAACAGCAGGAGAAACAAGCAGGACCAGGGCAACCUUCUUCUCCGUCCAUGCAGGGGGUCCACCACCAUCUUCCACUUCAUCCACAGCAUGAUGCAGCACCGUCAGACACUAAGUACAGCACUUUACUCCCUCCUCCCGUGUUGUGGAGUUGAUCUCUCUGUGAGGACAAUGCCAGCAAGACUGCAAUGUUAGACAGUGAAAACAAUCUCACCCCGACCCCACAAUGCACUUGGGUCAGGUUCAUUUAAGUGUGACCAUGGGAUUGGUCCCUGCGAGAGCAAUUAGUUCUCACUGAAAAAUCUGGGACGGUGGGAACAGCGAGAUGUCAAACAAUGGCUGCACCCCUCGUCAGCUAAACGCCUGUUACCCUCGUCUCCUGUGAGGGUGAACUGCCAGCGUUUUGUGUUUCUGUGUGACUACUCCCCAGCUGUACACACUGUGGCUCAGAGUAAUUUCAGACUCUGUUCGACAUACCUGCUCCAAUGUGUCAUGUCAUAAUGGGAGGAGUU